This 1667-nucleotide unclassified non-coding RNA is filed under the name Hevea brasiliensis (rubber tree). Lineage: Eukaryota; Viridiplantae; Streptophyta; Magnoliopsida; Malpighiales; Euphorbiaceae. The record is from RNAcentral.
CAAAAGAUAGGUAUAUUUGAUCAUAUAUGGCAGUUUUCUCCUCAGCUGUGAUGAGUGGUAGUAUCACAUAGCUUUCUUAUGUACAUCUAUCCAGGUCUCAAAUUGAUUCUCCUAAGCCAUAUGGAGUGCAAUAUCAUAUGAAAAACAUCAAAUCGCUUAGCAGGUUGGUUCAACACAAAGUGCUUUCUAACAGCUUUUAAACCCUCCUUAAGCUUCUUGUAUUUUUCUUCAGGAACUGAUCUUAACACCUCUUUUAGUCUUGGAAUUUCUGAUACUUUCACCCGUAUUGAAAACGCCUCCCAUCUUAAAACAUCGCUAAAUGGCAAAACAUAAUAUUUCGACAAAAUCACAGGCACGCAUUCAGCAUAAAUGGCCUCAACAAUUCUAGGGCUUGCUACUUCAUGGCCGCUUGGACAAAGACAAAACUUGGAUUGGAGCAUGAAUGAAUAAUAAUUCAAGUGUUUAGGAAGGUAUUCGAAGACACGAAGAUCAGAGUCACGGUCUUUCCACUGGUUGAGGAGGAGGGGACGGAUUGGGCCAUGAAGACCACCGGCAAAGAAGGCAAGGUAGGGACGUGAGGUAUUGGCUGGUGGUGGGGAUAGGAGUUGGGGUGGAAAGUUACCACUGUAGAGGUGAAUUUCAGGGAGGCUUACAUCCUUUCGGGGAUUGAAACCCUCAGAAGUGUUGGCAUUGCACAGGACUCGGAUUGAUGUGUUGUAAAGGAGCGGGUUGGCCCGGGAUGCAUGGGGACCCCAAUCAUGACAAGCAAGCAUGAAGUGAUCAGCCCCACAAGUUCUAUUCCAAAAAGGAUAUUUGAUAGAUAUCACUCUUACAUAAUCAGCCACAAACUGCUGUAGCGGUGUAAGAUCGUAUGUGAGAGGCUUGUAGAGAUACUUGACCAUCCAGGCUACGCUGAAGGGCAUGAAAUAAACGUGGGCACGUUGAGGAUCUCUUGUUCUAUGCCUCCUGGACCCAUGUUCCAUCUCGUGUAUAAACCUCCCCUCUAUUGUAUAUAUGUCCUUGCAUGGCCCAUCAUGGACGAUAGGUGGGCUCCCUUCGGAGUACACGUAGACCUUGAAUCUCCUCUCCAUCUCCAGGUAACUCUGAUAAAAUGCGGCGUGGUUACGAUAAACAGCUUCUCCGACAACGUCCCUUCGGUUCACCCCGCCGAUGGGUGAGACGUUUGGAGCUGAUAAAGCAGCUGCCUUGCGUAUCGAAGCUCGACCUCGAGCUAGUCCUUGUUCCAGUAGCUCUUCUUCUCUGCUAUGUACUUUUGAGAUUUUCUUAAUGCCAGUAGUGUUCCUGAAUCGAUUGAUCAUAGGAGAAGUAUAGCUGGACGGAGCAGAAUGAACAUAGUGGAUUUGAUCCGAGGCGGAAACCUGAGUCUGCAACUGGACGAUAGGAACUGAGAUUGAAGACUGAAAAUUAGAAACAGAGAAGAUUGAAAAAGAAGAAAAAUUAAAAAGAGCAGAGAGGCUCAAAAUCAAGAAGAGGAGAAGAAGAAUUAAAAAAGAGUGAGUGAAGGAAUAUCCAUGCAGUUUGAUAUCCAUUUGACACUAGUUGUGUUUUUGCUCUGUGUAUAAUCUGAAAAUAUUUGAAAUGGCGACAGUAUGUUUGGCUUGCGCGAUUUUGUUUUCUCGGGGAAAUGGAGUGAGAGAGAGAGAGAG